Molecule: long non-coding RNA, 4197 nt
Filed under: Cricetulus griseus (Chinese hamster)
Lineage: Eukaryota; Metazoa; Chordata; Mammalia; Rodentia; Cricetidae
Description: lncRNA (ENSCGRG00015039058.1)
Source: RNAcentral
GGUAGCUUCACAAUGCCACAUUAUCUGCCUAUAAAAUCUGAUAAUAUAGCUUCCAGGUGCCUGGGGCAGUGAGGCUCAGGCCAGGAAAGAGAAAUCUGCUGCUUUAAGAACAUUUGCAUCAUUGGAUUAACCUCCAUGUGGAUGUUUCUUCUGAAGGUCUACAAUGGAAAAGAACACUUGUGGCAAAAAGAAAUUUAAAGAAGUACACUUCAAAGAGAAGAAUAACACCAUGAACUUUAAGGUUGCAGCUAAGGCUUGUGGUGAAAGAGCUAAGGAGAGAAAGGAGAAGCCUGAUCUUCUGGAAUGAAUGAAAUGAACCAAGGGGAGCCCUAAGGGUGAGACCUCACCCAGGUAAGCCUGUAAAAGACCUAAGGAUUGUCUGCUCCUCAAAAGCAAAAACAAAUGGCAACCGCUGUGACUGUGAUUCAUGGGUCAGGCUCCAUCCAAGCAGGCACCUCAACUUGGUAGGUCAUCUGUGUGGUUCUGGUUUUAGAGUCAUGAAGGUCUGUGAAGUCCUUCUUUAUGAUCAAGGAGAGCCUCUAAGGCCAGACAUGUGGCAGGGGACUCUCUGCAUGGAGGUCCUGAAAGACCAUUGUGUGAAGCUAUAAAAGUGAAACCUGGAAUGCAUUGGAGACCUCAUUUUAGAGGUGCCAGAGUUGUGGGAUAUCUGUGAAGGGAACACAGAGAACGGAAUCAGCCUGGAAGAGAGACGUAGCUUGUGUGUAGCAAAGCUGGAAGGGCAGAGCCAUCUAGGUCCUUUGAUAAUACGGAUUUGGAGUUUGUCUUGGCUUUUGUCCAGUAUAUCUUUGCUACGCCCCAAUUCCUUCCUUUUAAAAUGAUGAUGUGUAUUCUGUGCCAUCAUAUGUUGGAAGAAUGUAAUUUGAUUUCACAGGGUGUGAUGGCUAUUCUUGGUUGUCAACUUGACUACAUCUGGAAUGAACUACAAUUGAGAAAUGAAGGGCACAUCUGUGGGAGAUUUUUUUUUUUUUUGACUUGGUUUGAAGUGGGUGGCUCCACUUCUAGUCCUGACUUUUUGAAGUAGGACUACACAUACUUUUUUUAUUUUCUUCUCUUUUUCUUUCUUUUUUUUUCUUUUCUUUUUAUUUUAUUUUAUUAGUUCAAAUUAGGAACAAGCUUGCUUCAGACGUCAAUCCCUUCUCCCUUUCCCUCUCCCUCCCCUCCCCCAACAUCCCACCUGCCCCUAGCCAUCCCCCCUCCACUCCCCAGGCAGGGUAAGGCCCUCAAAAGGGGCUCCCCAAAGUCUACCGCAUCAUCCUGGGCCAGGCCUAGGCCCUUCCCCAUGGACUACACACACUUUUGAUCUGGAUCUCGAGGCAGGAAGACACACCUUUAAUCUGGGCCACACCUUCUGUGGGAAGCCUUUAUAAGGACUUGGAAGAAGGACGCUUUUGCUCUUUUCCUGCUUGCCCUUGCCUUGUGAGCAAGUCUAUUUCUUCACUGGUAUUAGAGCCUAUUUCUUUUGGAUUUUAGCUUUUACUGAAGACCAGCUUUGUAGACUGAGCAACUACUGGAUUCUUGGAUUUUUAGUUCACACUUAGCCAUUGUUGGAUUAGCUGGACUGCAGCCUUAGACUGGCUUCAAAACCACUCACUGUUCUUCAGAGUGGAUUCUGAAGGUCCUGACAUCUAAGACUGAAAAUGGUUUUACAAACAAGGAAAGGAAGAUGCAGAACACUCUUCUCACUUCCUGAAGUCCUGAUGACAAAGUGUUUUCAAAUACCACUGUGUAUUCGACUUGCAGCAGAAAAUAACUGUGGGGCAGUUUGUUCACUGCAGAACAAAGGAAGGGCUGCACAACUGGGUUUCCAGAUAAAAGUCCAGUUCAUCUCAAAGCACUUCUUACAGACUGAAGAAAGCCCCUAAGAACUCACUGACUUUAGCUCCUGAACACAUCCUCUUUCCCUGUUCUGAACUGUGUUAACCAACACUGUGCAUUCAGCCCUCGAGGAAGGCCAGGAGUUCUGGGCCUGGAGACCUCCUGCCUGCCACCUGAUGUCUGGCCACCAUACUCUGGUCAACAGCCAGGCAAUUUGCUUGUAUUUCAGGAAAACAAAGAGAAGUCUGGGUGAGCUGAUGAAGAAAACACAGCCUUAGCAGCAACCGGCAGUCAGCCAACACGGAGUCACGUUCUCUGGAGAACUGAAGCCAUUUUUAUCCUCCUCCAUAGGCCUAGGGAUUUGAAAGUGGCAUCGUUCCUGGAAGAGUAGAGCAGGUUUACAGCAUCAUCUUCUGUCUUCUGUGACAGUGCCAUGUAACAUUGUUUAAAGUGGCUAACAGUCACUGCCUUCACCUUUAUGUGACAGAUUUAUCUGCAUCGACCAGACUUUCAACUGUGAAUUAUUUCUCAUUGUGUCUAAAAUGAUCAGACUAGUUAUUUUUCUGUGCUUGACCUAUGUGGGGAGUUAGGUGGCCAUUCCUUUGCUCCUUUGGUUUCACUUUUUUUUUUUAAUUCCCAGCCAUUUGCAGUCCUCCAAAUUGGGUUUGAUAAGCAUAAUUCAAAUUCCCCACAUCUAUUCUCUAAUACAUUUCUUCUGCAGUCAAGUCCCACUUGGCCAUAGUAAGCUUCUCUUGUUCACCCAGUCUGUCAUUCAAUUGGAUACCAAAGAGAUGCAUAGAUCAUUGGCACUGUCAAAGAUGGAAGAAUGGGGCUACAGCCUGAGGCUCAGAAGCCCACUCAAUAGGCAGAGUAAGACAGCUUUUAAAGAAAGAGGGAAAUAGAAAAGAAAAGAAAAACCUAAAUAAACUAAAAUAAAGGAAGGCUUUUUUUUUGUAUAGCGUGAAAACAAGUCUCAUGGCUGUCCAAGGAUGGGGCUAUUGGGAGAGGGGACUCUUUUUCAAGAGCAUGCCAUUUUUUUUUUUUUUUUGUAUUCAUGCUGUUUCUAGAGUUCCAUCAUUUUUACUUGAGACUUGCUUUUUAAUAAAGAAAAUUCUCUGUGGGAAUUUGCCAAGAUCUGGUUUGAAGCUAGAGCAAUGAUCAGGAACACUCUAGGAAUUCUUUGGGAUCAAAUUCAGGGCCCUGAAUAUACUAUUCGAAUUCUCUAUGCCAGUCACACGCAGAGCAUAUGUGCUCUAUCCAGUGCUGGUCAUCCUAUAAACUUUACAGGGAGCAUUUGGGCUACAGGCCCUGUGAGGACUGUCCCUGUGAAGACUGUCCCUGUGAGGACUGUCCCUGUGAGGGUCUACAGAGAGAGAGGAGUCUUUCUCUGGAACCAAGGCCAGUUCCCUGAGUCUCAACAUUGUGUGGCUGGGGUCCUCAUUUGCAUUUCCUGUCUUAAGUGGGCCCUGUAGCUCUGUGAAGCCCUCUACACAGGAGCUUACUGCCUACUGGAGUGGCAGAAACUUUAGGGUGAGAGCUACCUCUACCUCUUUCAGCCAGGGUCCAUGCUCUGUUCAUACUUUGGGGACAUAUAGAAAUUAAUUUUAUAGUUGUUUUUUGAGGCAUUUGUGAGUUAAGGAGCACCAUUUAAAUAGACAUUUUAGUUGUCUGGGUCAGGGGGUUGCUCAGAAUGUGUUUACUUGAAUGGAGUUGUGCAAGGCAAAUCCUGAGUGUUUGUGAGAAAACUCCAAGAAAACAAGACAAGCCUUGUGACCCCAGUUUCUACAAAGCAGCGGAAUUGUUCUUGGAAUGCGCUGUCAUGUUCUUCCCAGCUGUAGGGGUUGGGAGUAGUUUACUUCAGAUUAUUCAUUACAACUGGCUAUUGUUAUUUGUUUAUGUGCCUCUAUGGACAAACAUGCUUUUGCCACCUUUGGCUUGCUUUUGUGAUUGUAUACUUUACUUAUAUGCUUCUUCUUAACACUCAGCGCAUAAAUUGUCUGAUGCUCUGAAUAAAGUUGGCUAUUGCAUGAAACUUUAGUCUCUCUUGUUUAUCAGCUCCAUUCUCCCAGGUCCCAUCGACAGUUAAAGUCCUAACAGUGAGUCUCACCAUGUUUCUGCUUUGUGAAUGACACUGUGCUCCUUUCUCAAUUCUGGCAGCUUAACUGUGUUCAGAGUUUAUACCUUUUGGGAUUCUAGCUUCCUGAGGCUUUCCCUGACUAAGGACUCUUGGAGUCUACCUCAGUCUCCACCCUUCUGCUGUUUGCACUUGCCAUUUAAUUGUUAGUAGAGAAAGGAUAUAACAUUCAAUUUAGGCUGUGUGGAUUCAUAGGUCUCUGCUUUUUCAAUAGGGUCUGCCCUGGG